UGCCUCAUAGCUCAGCAGGUUAGAGCGCUGUCCUGAUAAGACAGAGACCCCUGGUUCGACUCCAGGUGAGGCAA
This is a transfer RNA of 74 nucleotides. It matches the Rfam family "tRNA". From Rfam's summary of the family: Transfer RNA (tRNA) molecules are approximately 80 nucleotides in length. Their secondary structure includes four short double-helical elements and three loops (D, anti-codon, and T loops).